AAUUCGAAGCAACGCGAAGAACCUUACCAGGUCUUGACCAUCCCUGACAACCCGAGAGAUCGGGCGUUCCCCUUCGGGGGGACAGGGUGACAGGUGGUGCAUGGUUGUCGUCAGCUCGUGUCGUGAGAUGUUGGGUUAAGUCCCGCAACGAGCGCAACCCUCGACCUUAGUUGCCAGCAUUCAGUUGGGCACUCUAAGGUGACUGCCGGCUAAAAGUCGGAGGAAGGUGGGGAUGACGUCAAAUCAUCAUGCCCCUUAUGACCUGGGCUACACACGUGCUACAAUGGGCGGUACAAAGGGUCGCGAACCCGCGAGGUGGCGCCAAUCCAUAAAGUUGGUCUCAGUUCAGAUUGUAGGCUGCAACCCGCCUGCAUGAAGAUGGAGUUGCUAGUAACCGCAGGUCAGCUAUACUGCGGUGAAUACGUUCCCGGGGCUU
RNAcentral lists this ribosomal RNA (436 nucleotides) under uncultured Anoxybacillus sp. RNAcentral's name for it is "bacterial SSU rRNA". It matches the Rfam family "Bacterial small subunit ribosomal RNA", at positions 948 to 1382 of the family's 1533-position model. The record is from RNAcentral. Lineage: Bacteria; Bacillati; Bacillota; Bacilli; Caryophanales; Anoxybacillaceae.